Molecule: long non-coding RNA, 753 nt
Organism: Suricata suricatta (meerkat)
Lineage: Eukaryota; Metazoa; Chordata; Mammalia; Carnivora; Herpestidae
Exons: 2
Source: RefSeq, a predicted model, not a curated record
GGCAGCACAGAGCCUGAAGCAGGGCUGGAACCUGGGAACAGGGAUUAUGACCUAGGCUGAAGACAGAUGCUUAUCCGACUGAACCACCCAGGAUGAGAACCAUGGACAUCAGUCACCAGCUCCUCACUGUGGUGCGUUCGUGUCACCUGGAAUGCUUUGAAAAGUCCCAUGCCCUGGCUGAGUCUCAGAGCAACGCCACCAGAAUCUGGGGUCCCUCAGACGGCUCCAAUGGACAGCCACGUCCGUUGGACAGCUGAUACUUCCCAAAAACCUCUGGAAAACUUGCCUCCAAUUGCAAGUAACCCUUGAAAACAAACUUUUUGUUUUAUCUAUGUCUUAGCCAGACGGACAUGGCUGCUGGAUGACAUACAGGAUGCCUGGUUAAAUUCAAAUCGAGGAUUUCCAUUUUUAGGCAAAGAUUGUCCACGCAAUAUCUGACACUGGCACACGUUAAAAAAUUUUCAUUGCUUGUAUGAAAAGCACAUUUAACUGUAUUUUCAUUUGUGAAGCAAAAUACAAGUGGUGCUCCAGAAAUCCCUAAAGAGCAAUAUAGAUCUUCUCUGUGUGUAAAGGGGCUUUGGAAAGGUUGCAUACUUGAGGAAGAAGCAAAGAGAUCAUCUUGCUAAUGCCCAGUGAAUGGAUCUAAACGUUUACACCACUUAUCUCUCUUCCCCAGGAUUUCAUAACCACUGGCUCAACUCCUUUGCUGGUUUCCCCUGUCUAAUUCAACAAAUAAAACACUAACUCCCCACC